GGCGGGGUAGUACAGGGCGUGCUUCCGUGAACUGUAGUAGUAGAAAUUAUACAAACAAUGUUUACCGGAUGGCGCCCGUUCGACUCGGGCCCCCGUCA
This is a non-coding RNA of Mycena latifolia, 98 nucleotides long. Lineage: Eukaryota; Fungi; Basidiomycota; Agaricomycetes; Agaricales; Mycenaceae. The record is from the annotation of a GenBank genome assembly.